Molecule: transfer RNA, 64 nt
Filed under: Megalophasma granulatum
Lineage: Eukaryota; Metazoa; Arthropoda; Insecta; Phasmatodea; Lonchodidae
Description: tRNA-Leu
Rfam family: tRNA
About the family: Transfer RNA (tRNA) molecules are approximately 80 nucleotides in length. Their secondary structure includes four short double-helical elements and three loops (D, anti-codon, and T loops).
Source: RNAcentral
UCUAAUAUGGCAGAUUAGUGCAAUAGAUUUAAGACCUAUUUAUAAAGUUUAACUUUUAUUAGAA